Molecule: ribosomal RNA, 427 nt
Filed under: uncultured bacterium
Lineage: Bacteria
Description: partial 16S ribosomal RNA
Rfam family: Bacterial small subunit ribosomal RNA
Source: RNAcentral
GUAGGGAAUAUUGCGCAAUGGACGAAACCCUGACGCAGCAAUACCGCGUGAGUGAAGAAGGUUUUCGGAUCGUAAAACUCUUUUAUUGGGGAAGAAGAAGUGACGGUACCCAAUGAAGAAGUCCCGGCUAACUACGUGCCAGCAGCCGCGGUAAUACGUAGGGGACAAGCGUUGUCCGGAAUCACUGGGCGUAAAGGGCGCGUAGGCGGUUUUAUAAGUCAGAUGUGAAAGGUACCGGCUCAACCGGUGACGUGCAUUUGAAACUGUAAGACUUGAGUACUGGAGAGGCAAGUGGAAUUCCUAGUGUAGCGGUGAAAUGCGUAGAUAUUAGGAGGAACACCGGUGGCGAAGGCGGCUUGCUGGACAGAUACUGACGCUGAGGUGCGAAAGCGUGGGGAGCGAACAGGAUUAGAUACCCGUGUAGUCC